This is a long non-coding RNA of Dalotia coriaria, 867 nucleotides long. RefSeq lists it as uncharacterized. The record is from RefSeq and is a predicted model, not a curated record. Lineage: Eukaryota; Metazoa; Arthropoda; Insecta; Coleoptera; Staphylinidae. The transcript is spliced from 3 exons.
AAACAACAGCGCACAUGUUUUGAAACUAGUUUGGUUCUGAUCGCCGGCCAGUACGCAUCGCUUGUUGUACAUUAAGUUAUAUUCAACAUUCUCAUUAUUGGCUUCAUUAUAUAUAUAAAUUUAAAUAGUGAUAGUGUUGCUCUUUACGAUAAGUGUGCAAACCCAAACUUCUGUCGGAAUAGUUUAAAAUCACAGCCCAAAUAGAGUCUCUGCAGGAAUUUCAACGCACGUUGCACGUUGCAACAACAGGUCACUUUCUUAGUUUAUAAAUGCCCCAAGAAAUUGAACGGGACCUUGUAGGAGAGUCAUUCUUGCGCCAAAUCGGCUGUAGAAAUUGAACGGGAACUCACAGGAGGGCCAUUUUUUACAUCAGAUUGGCUGUAGAAAUUCAACGGAAACUCGCAGGCGGGCCAUUUUUACUUCAAAGUGUAUGUAUUGUAAUUCUGUAUCGUCUCUAUGACCUAGUUUUGCAAUUUUCUCACGGGAAAGCCGUCAAAAUUGCAUUUUUGUAUUUUGAGACACUGAUUUUUCUUGUUUUAGAGCGCUAGAAAUUGAACAGGAUAUCGCAGUAGGGUCAUUCUUGUAGUAAUGAGUUCAAUUCUAUUAUUAUACCGCGUUUUCUUAUGUUUCAGGGGGAGAAUUAUUUAAACGAACAAUAAAUAAGGUAAAUCAUAUUUGAAGAAAAAUAUUUAAUGAAAUGUUUUGUUAUGUUUUAUUAUCUUAUGUGACGGGCCAGCAACCUCGGCACAGAGCGAUAUGACGCGGUGGGUCAAAAUGAUGCUCUUGUGUACACGCGUUUUAUUUUUGCGAAUGUUUACUUGUAUGUAUUUUUAAAAGUUAUUAAUAAAACACUUAUUACAUUUAUAA